Molecule: transfer RNA, 72 nt
Filed under: Denticeps clupeoides (denticle herring)
Lineage: Eukaryota; Metazoa; Chordata; Actinopteri; Clupeiformes; Denticipitidae
Rfam family: tRNA
About the family: Transfer RNA (tRNA) molecules are approximately 80 nucleotides in length.
Source: Rfam by way of RNAcentral
UCCUCGUUAGUAUAGUGGUGAGUAUCCCCGCCUGUCACGCGGGAGACCGGGGUUCGAUUCCCUCGACGGGGA